GGAUGUGGCUCAAGCGGUAAUGCACUUGCCUGGUAUGCGAGGGGCGCUGGGUUCGAUCCUCAGCACCA
This 68-nucleotide transfer RNA is filed under the name Marmota monax (woodchuck). RNAcentral's name for it is "tRNA.Thr". Lineage: Eukaryota; Metazoa; Chordata; Mammalia; Rodentia; Sciuridae. The record is from RNAcentral.